GAUGAACGCUGGCGGCGUGCUUAACACAUGCAAGUCGAACGAAGCACUUUAUUUGAUUUCCUUCGGGACUGAUUAUUUUGUGACUGAGUGGCGGACGGGUGAGUAACGCGUGGGUAACCUGCCUUGUACAGGGGGAUAACAGUUGGAAACGGCUGCUAAUACCGCAUAAGCGCACAGCAUCGCAUGAUGCAGUGUGAAAAACUCCGGUGGUAUAAGAUGGACCUGCGUUGGAUUAGCUAGUAGGUGAGGUAACGGCCCACCAAGGCGACGAUCCAUAGCCGACCUGAGAGGGUGACCGGCCACAUUGGGACUGAGACACGGCCCAAACUCCUACGGGAGGCAGCAGUGGGGAAUAUUGCACAAUGGGCGAAAGCCUGAUGCAGCGACGCCGCGUGAGCGAAGAAGUAUUUCGGUAUGUAAAGCUCUAUCAGCAGGGAAGAUAAUGACGGUACCUGACUAAGAAGCACCGGCUAAAUACGUG
Molecule: ribosomal RNA, 481 nt
Filed under: uncultured bacterium
Lineage: Bacteria
Description: partial 16S ribosomal RNA
Rfam family: Bacterial small subunit ribosomal RNA
Source: RNAcentral